GAUAUUAUUUCCGAGUCCUCCCCAUAGUGAUUAAAAAUUCCCGAAGUUAAAUACACUAUUUUUCACAAAACAAACACAUUUUCAUUUUCAAAGCAUACCAUUGCUCUCUAUGGUUUUAAAAUUCAAAGGACACUUUCACACACUACCAAAACACUUGANNNNNNNNNNNNNNNNNGUCUCGACAAAAUAAUCGAGUUUUUCUUGCGUCGCAAGUUUCAAGUUUUUCUUUCCAAAUACAAUCCUAUAAUCAUACUUUUACACACCUAAGAUCAUUCAUCAAAAACAUGAUCAUUUUUUUUCAACAUUGUGGACUUAGAAAAAUUUUGGAAAUCCUCCCUUUUUUUUUUCCUUUUAGGGGCUGCCCCCAAAAACCAAAAUCACACUUCCGCUCAAAAUUUUCCGCUUUCGAGAGCUUGGUAAUAUCCCAUAAUACCUCCGAGUCACUAAUCCAAGCACCCAAAAAUUUUCCGGGCAAAGCCUCUAAUUACGACAUUUUAAAUUUUUGGUUCUUUGACACACAUACAACACCAAAACCAUUUUUACCCAAAACUUUUUGCAUGGUAAUUCACCCUAGGCCACAAUUGUGCCUCCCCCAAAGCCCUAACCAAUUUUGAAACCUCUCCCACACUUUUUCAAAAUUUCACAUGACCAAAAGUUUUGAAAAUGUGAACCACACCCAAAAUUUCUCCAAUGCCAAUACCUAGCAAGCCUCUAUUAGUUCACAAGCCUAUGGAAAUGAUCAACAAAUUCAUUUUGAGGGUCAAAACAAGAAUUUCCAAAAAAAAUUUCAUAAAGUCCUCAAGAACACACACAAAAAUAUUUUUCCUUGUUUCACAAAAUCAAAGCCAUUUCCUAACAUCCAUUUCCCUACAAUGCUCAUAAACAACACCAAAAAUAAAAGCACAACACAAGUUUUCNNNNNNNNNNNNNNNNNNNNNNNUAAACUACUCCUAAACACUUCCCUAGAACCACAAACACCCAAAACUUAUUCUAGAAAAAGAUUACUCAAGAACAAAGUCAUGACAAUCUCUAAAAUAUUCUAGGAAUCAUGACUUUUAGCUAAACAAAAGCGUGGAGAAGGUGAGUUACCUUAAGAGGAGUGAUUUCCUUGCAAGUUCCUAGUUCCAAAGAGACAAAUCCUAGCUUGAAUGGAUGAGAAAUGAAAAUUUUG
Molecule: long non-coding RNA, 1171 nt
Filed under: Trifolium pratense (red clover)
Lineage: Eukaryota; Viridiplantae; Streptophyta; Magnoliopsida; Fabales; Fabaceae
Description: long non-coding RNA (TPRA_LNC005342)
Source: RNAcentral